GACCUCAAAUCAGGUAGGACUACCCGCUGAACUUAAGCAUAUCAAUAAGCGGAGGAAAAGAAACUAACAAGGAUUCCCCUAGUAACUGCGAGUGAAGCGGGAAAAGCUCAAAUUUAAAAUCUGGCAGUCUUUGGCUGUCCGAGUUGUAAUCUAGAGAAGUGUUAUCCGCGCUGGACCGUGUACAAGUCUCCUGGAAUGGAGCGUCAUAGAGGGUGAGAAUCCCGUCUUUGACACGGACUACCAGGGCUUUGUGAUGCGCUCUCAAAGAGUCGAGUUGUUUGGGAAUGCAGCUCAAAAUGGGUGGUAAAUUCCAUCUAAAGCUAAAUAUUGGCGAGAGACCGAUAGCGAACAAGUACCGUGAGGGAAAGAUGAAAAGAACUUUGGAAAGAGAGUUAAACAGUACGUGAAAUUGCUGAAAGGGAAACGCUUGAAGUCAGUCGCGUCGUCCAGGGAUCAACCUUGCUUUUGCUUGGUGCACUUUCUGGUUGACGGGUCAGCAUCAAUUUUGACCAUUGGAAAAAGAUCAAGGGAAUGUGACAUCUUUGGAUGUGUUAUAGCCCUUGGUUGCAUACGAUGGUUGGGAUUGAGGAACUCAGCACUCCGCAAGGCCGGGU
RNAcentral lists this ribosomal RNA (614 nucleotides) under Cortinarius sp. DAVFP 26069. Its description in RNAcentral is "eukaryotic LSU rRNA". It matches the Rfam family "Eukaryotic large subunit ribosomal RNA", at positions 1 to 616 of the family's 3401-position model. The record is from RNAcentral. Lineage: Eukaryota; Fungi; Basidiomycota; Agaricomycetes; Agaricales; Cortinariaceae.